AGAUUUGCACAGCGGCAGUAUUAUAGCCAAUGAGCUUUAUCUGAGGUGCAAUUAUUGCUAAUUAAAAGCAAGCAAUGAGGAAAACCCACAGUAUUUGGGGAUUAUUUCUUCCAGAAUUCUAAUUCUAAGUAUUCUUACAUAAGC
Molecule: small nuclear RNA, 144 nt
Organism: Heterocephalus glaber (naked mole-rat)
Lineage: Eukaryota; Metazoa; Chordata; Mammalia; Rodentia; Bathyergidae
Gene: U4
Rfam family: U4 spliceosomal RNA
About the family: U4 small nuclear RNA (U4 snRNA) is a component of the major U2-dependent spliceosome. The structure of U4 snRNA from yeast and human has been reported.
Source: Ensembl